GACGAACGCUGGCGGCGUGCUUAACACAUGCAAGUCGAACGGAAAGGCCCUGCUUUUGUGUGGUGCUCGAGUGGCAAACGUGUGAGUAACAUGUGAAUAACCUUCCUUUUACUUUGGGAUAACUUCAGAAAGCUGGUGCUACUACCUAAUACCUGCUCCUGCUGCAUGGUGAGGGUUGGAACGUUUCGUCGGUUGUGGAUGUACUGGCGGCUUAUUAGCUUGUUGGUGGGGUAGUGGCUUACCCAGGCUUUGGAGGGUAGCCGGCCUGAGAGGGUGAACAGCGACAUUAGGACUGAGAGACGGCGCAGAGUCCUACGGGAGACAGCAGUGGGGAAUAUUGCACAGUGGGGGGAAGCGUGAUGAAGAAACGCUCCGUGCGGGAUGAAGGCCAUGGGGUGGUAAACCGCAGUAACCUGUGACGAAGCGUGAGUGACGGUAAUGGGUAAAGAAGCACCGGCUAACUACGUG
RNAcentral lists this ribosomal RNA (468 nucleotides) under uncultured bacterium. Its description in RNAcentral is "partial 16S ribosomal RNA". It matches the Rfam family "Bacterial small subunit ribosomal RNA", at positions 28 to 507 of the family's 1533-position model. The record is from RNAcentral.